AUACGUAGGGGGCGAGCGUUGUCCGGAAUUAUUGGGCGUAAAGCGCGCGCAGGCGGUCCUUUAAGUCUGGUGUUUAAGAGCGGGGCUCAACCCUGCUACGCACUGGAAACUGGAGGACUUGAGUGCAGCAGAGGGAAGCGGAAUUCCAUGUGUAGCGGUGAAAUGCGUAGAGAUAUGGAGGAACACCAGUGGCGAAGGCGGCUUUCUGGGCUGUAACUGACGCUGAGGCGCGAAAGCGUGGGGAGCAAACAGGAUUAGAUACCCUGGUAGUCCACGCCGUAAACGAUGAGUGCUAGGUGUCGGAGGGGAUAAACCUUUCGGUGCCGAAGUUAACACAUUAAGCACUCCGCCUGGGGAGUACGGCCGCAAGGCUGAA
This 376-nucleotide ribosomal RNA is filed under the name uncultured bacterium. RNAcentral describes it as "bacterial SSU rRNA". It matches the Rfam family "Bacterial small subunit ribosomal RNA", at positions 523 to 898 of the family's 1533-position model. The record is from RNAcentral.